RNAcentral lists this ribosomal RNA (169 nucleotides) under Cheilinus undulatus (humphead wrasse). RNAcentral describes it as "partial 12S ribosomal RNA". The record is from RNAcentral. Lineage: Eukaryota; Metazoa; Chordata; Actinopteri; Labriformes; Labridae.
CACCGCGGUUAUACGAGAGGCCCAAAUUGAUAGACUCCGGCAUAAAGUGUGGUUAAGGACUAAACUCUACUAAAGCCGAAGACUCUCAAAGCUGUUAUACGCAAAUGAGAGGUAGAAGCCCAAUCACGAAAGUAGCUUUAAUUACCCUGACGCCACGAAAGCUACGGGA